RNAcentral lists this microRNA precursor (89 nucleotides) under Dasypus novemcinctus (nine-banded armadillo). Its description in RNAcentral is "miRNA (ENSDNOG00000029662.1)". Lineage: Eukaryota; Metazoa; Chordata; Mammalia; Cingulata; Dasypodidae. The record is from RNAcentral.
UUAGAAAUGCAAAUUCUCAGGCUCUCCUCCCCUGCUCCAGAACUAUUGAUUUAAAGACUCCAGAGGUGAGGUCCAGGAAUCUGCAUUUU